AACUCCUGAUAAUUCGCCACUC
RNAcentral lists this microRNA (22 nucleotides) under Callorhinchus milii (elephant shark). Its description in RNAcentral is "eshark_mir-3544_1". Lineage: Eukaryota; Metazoa; Chordata; Chondrichthyes; Chimaeriformes; Callorhinchidae. The record is from RNAcentral.